This 7018-nucleotide long non-coding RNA is filed under the name Lactuca sativa (garden lettuce). RNAcentral's name for it is "long non-coding RNA (LSAT_LNC008587)". Lineage: Eukaryota; Viridiplantae; Streptophyta; Magnoliopsida; Asterales; Asteraceae. The record is from RNAcentral.
AACCCUCCAACAUUGCCUUCGUUCGGAAGGUACGGGUUGCCGUGGGGAUGGAGUCCAGUCACUGUGUUUGUACGAGAAUAAGGAGAUAAGGAUUGUCUAGAACUAAGGCACAUAAGGUUGACAUCAAAGUUAAACUAUCGUAUUCAUAAAAUACUCCUAUAGUAUUCUAAAUGUUAUGUUUGAUUCUAAAGUUUAUAAGUUUGGUAAGUUUUAGACUUGUUGUCCAUUGUAGCUAUCCCCUGGCAUACACAGUUCGGCUCUCGGACAAAUAUAGUUGAUCAGGCUAUAUUUAUCCCAGUCCCGAUUACAUAUCCCAAGGCAUACUUGUAUUGCACAACUCAUCUAUAAUACUUCUAUAUUGUUUUAAUUAUGACACUAACCCUGUUAUUAAUAUGAAAUGAAUGCAUGCCUACUUUAUAAAAACUAAAUAAAUUUAAUUUUAAAAGUAUGACUCUUACUCAAAGUGUUUUUGACCAGUUGUGUUUAUAGUUGUAUAUCAAAAAUGGUUUUGAUAUACUUAGUUCACUAUAAACAAUGCUCUGAUACCAAUCUGUCACACCCCCAAAACCAGAACGGCGGAAACGUUCGGGGGCGGAGGACGUCAUGUCAAGUAUCAUAACAAAUGAAUAGUAAAGAAAGUACACACCACCAUAAUAUAAAUAUAUUUGAAAAGUUUACAUGAUUGUAUGUGUUACAUGUUUGCAAAAGAAAUCAAAUACAAUAUGGUGAUCCAAAAUAUGUUACUAACGCCAGCGCGUUAGUCUUCAAAAGUAGUUGCUACCUGGUUUAGCGGUUUCCUGAGAAUACAAGUUAUUUCAAAGAAAAAGUGUCAACAUUUAAGUUGGUGAGUUCAUAAGUGGUGUUUUGAGAAAAUGUAUGCCAUUCGAAAGUGCGUGUAUGUUUUCCAGAAAAUCCCUUAUUUUCUAUUAGAUGUAUGAAAUGAGUUUGAAAGAUUGUUGUAUGUACUAUAUGUAUUUGAACCAGGAAAAUCCCUUAUUUUCCUAAAAGUGAAAUGCAGUCUCAAAUGACCAAGACUGUAAGCUAUAAGAAACUAUGACAUGCUCAAAAGAAUGAUGUUGUAAAUCGUUAUUGUACAAAAUGAAUGUAUUUGAACCAGGAAAAUCCCUUAUUUUCCUAAAAGUGAAGUGCAGUCUUAUUGUUAAGUAAAACUAGUUGUGGAAGUGUUUUAACCUGAGUUUUGAUCAUGCCGAUAAUACCCUAGAAUAUAGUUAUUACCCCUCGAGCAUGAUUGAGUUAAGUAUUACUACGUGCAUGAGUCAUUGUUUCCGCGUGUUGUGAGUUCCUCAUAACCAUACUAGACGCAGUACCUAAUGUUGACGUUUGUCACCCCAAAUGACGGACUGUAGCUAACAGUCAGGGUGCGGAGUUGUCAGCCCCGUAUAGAUCUAUACACACUUGUCACGCUCUCCCUCCAGGAGACUCUGGUUAUAGGUGAGGACUUUCGUUUGGUACAAACAAAGCCAUAUGCCAUCACAUGAUUGCUAACAACAAGUUCACGAGUAAUAUGAUGAAAAUCGUUCGUAUGAAAUGAUUUCGUUUUCUACCGUGUUACAAAAACGUGAUGAUGAGUUGAGUUUUCUUGUAAAAGCAUCAUGUUAUAGUUGAAAUGGUUACUCUUGAUAUGAUGUAGUAUGCAAACGUAUAAAUAAAACCUAUUUCUAUUUAUAAAACAUAUUGUAUCCCAAGAGGGUAAAGUUGUGUUGUGAGGUGUUUUGCAUGAUAAUAACUUCAUAAGAUAGUUUAAAACAACAGUAUGAAAAGUAUAUAAAAAGAUCGAUGUUUCACACGAUUUUAGUUGUGUGUUUACUUGUAUUCCCCCCCUUAAAAGUGUUUCAAAAGCAUUUAAAAAGCAUUUAAAGUGUGGUUGUAGGGGUAUGAACUCACUUGAUUGAAGUGGUUGAUUUGAAGUAGUCGAGAGGAGAAUCGAGCAGAACUUCGACAGGAAGAGUUGGAAACGCGGGAAAAUAUCGGGAUUCUCGGGAAUCUCGGGAAUCUCGAGAACACAAAACCUUCCUUCGGGACUUGAAGGUGAAAACCGGGGCUUUGGGAGGGUCUCGGGGGCUUAAACGCAGAGUUUCGGCGCGAGAAAGAAAGGAACUGAACAAUGGAACUCGGAGCCCUUGAAAUCUACUUAUAGGGGCAUUUUUGGGGUGUGCCACGUCGUGGCAAGGUAUGGCCACGUCGUGGGGAGUUAAACUUAUCAUCUUCCAUUGAUUGUACGCCCUUAGUCACUUGUCGGGUCGCGUCAAGCUUGUGCCACGUCGUGGCAAGCUUGACAGCCUCGGAUUUCGGGUCCCGAACUUGUAAAAUCCGUAACUUUCGCGUACGAGCUCCAUUUUCGACGUUCUUUAUAUGCACGAGUAGCUAAAAAUAUGAUCUAAAACUCUCGUUCAGAAUUCAUCGGCAAAUUUUGACUUUAUUUUUAAUUAUUUAUUUAUAACGGGCCGGGACACAAAAAGUCCGUUAAAAUUCCAUAACUUCUUCAUCCGAUGUCCGUUUUCGUCCGACUUUUCGCCGUUGCGCUACUAAUGUUGAGACCUUCGAUUCUCAUUUAGGUUGUUUUGGUCAAAAGUAUCUCGAGCUCUAUUUCGAGUUUUUAGCUGUCUACUGCUAUACCCGAACCUUGGAAAAAUCAUAACUUCCUCAUACGAAGUCAGAUUUGGACGUUCUUUUUAUGUACGCUCACGGUUUGAUGUUAUCUAUAACUUUUAUUUAGAUACUUAAGGCUAAAAACUAUUGUAUUGAAACUUCGCGUUUUUCGUUUAAUCGGUGUUGCCGGUUUUGUCGGNAUCGGUGUUGUCGGUUUUGUCGGAAAUCUUAGAAUGGUCAUAACUUCUUCGUUAUAACUCAGAUUUUUGUGUUCUUUAUAUGUAUGAAAACCUUGUUACGAUUCCUACUACUUGAUUUAACCCAAAUAAGACUUUAGGAAAGUUAUAUUUUGACCUAAAUUUGACUGGUUUUACAUUACAUUGUCUCUAAAUAUCGGGUUGUCACAUCAUCCCCCCCGUUAGAGAAAAUUUCGCCCCGAAAUUAGAGUUUAAGAAGAAUUGAUAAAUAUGCUACGGAUAGAAGUUUUAUUUGUUUCUCGUGUUCUUGAGUGAACUCACGUCCUCGCUUGGCAUUCCAGCAAACCUUUCACUAUCGGGAUACGACUUUGCUUCUUUCGUUUGACUGCACUGGUAUGAUAACUCUUCUUUAUCGAAUGUGUGUUGAGUGUUUUUGUGGUCUGUGAGAGUAUUACACCUUGUACCCUACAAGUAGUGUUUCCAGAUCUUCAGAGCAAUUGCCAUUGCUCCUGACUCAAGAUCAUGUGUUGUAUAGUUAACUUCUUGCGUCUUAAGCUGUCUUGAGGUAUAGGCAGUGGCCUUUCCUCUUGUAUAAGAACGCAACCAAGCCCUUGGUUAGAUGCAUCGCCUUUCACCACGAAAUCUUCUAUCCCCUUUGAGAGGGAUAAUAUCGGUGCGAUACACCAAGCUUACUUUAGCUUUUGGAAUGCUCUUUCUUGUUACAGACAAGUCUGGUGCUCCUCCAAGUGAGAAUCUUGGCCUAAAGAAUCCUCAUCUGAGGAGCUUGUUAAGCUCACUAGGAAGUUCCAGUAUCUUAGUUGGAGUUAGACGAUAAGGUGAUUUGGCUGUUGGGGUAGCCCCUGGAACUAAGUCGAUUCUGAAUUCGACUUGACAUUGUGGUGGUAAUCCCGGUAGUUCUUCUGGAAAGGUGUUGGGAAAGUCGUGUACUUUUGGGAUGUUCUGAAUGUCCUUCACUUCUUGGCUCGUAUCGACGAUGUGUGCAAGGAAUGCAUGAUAUUCCUUUCAUAAGCAUUUCUAAGCUUGCAUACACGAAAUGAUGAGAGGGUUCGUACUUGGUCCGUCGCUGUAAAUAACUAGAGCUUCGUUGUUUAGGGAGGUUUGGAUGAACUGCUUUAUCCAAGCACCUGAUGUCGGCUCGAUGUAGACUUAACCAACUCCUACUGAUUAUGAUGUCAAAACCUUGGGGUGGAUUAGAUGUCGUGAAGAUCUCAAAGAAAGUAUGACUACUCAUGAAUUAGGGAAAAGGAUAGGUAUUUCUAAGUUUAUUCUCACGGAAGCACGACCACUCUCAGCCUUGGGCAGUCUCCGUCCUGAAGUUCAUAGUAGAACCCAUACUAGGUUCAUCAAUCACAGCCUCAAGUAUACGAGUUGUAUAUAAUUAAGACUGAAAUUGUGGGUCUUUGGAUUGAACUUGACGUAUUGCACGAGUGGUACUUCGGGGAGGUUUGUUGAGGUUUCUUUGGAAAGGAUAAGAAACAUGAGGUACUCUACGCAUGAGUACUUUAGAGUUCUGAAGUGAUAGUUACGUUAGAAAGCUGAUUUCGAAUAAAGAGAUUUACGCACGAAACUGGUAUUGUGAGGAUCAAAUAGACUCUGAUCGUAUGAUGAAAUCGGAAUCACUUGGAACUAAAUGCACUAGAUUUGAUCAUAAAGGAGUUACAGACAAAACACAAUAGUGCAACUUUUUAACAGAGUUACAGUACUUUAGAGUAACUACAGGAAUACUGUUGCGAACAAAAUAUACUACAAAAGGCAAGUAUACGCAGCACGAGGGUCCCUUAACUGACGGGAUCUCGCAAAAGAUAAGACUCGAGUUGCACUAGUUUUAAACAUGUUUUUAAAAACAUACAUAAUACUGACGAUUGGAAGUGAACCUAUACUAUAGUAGGGUCCUUCGUUGUCUCUUUCCAUUAUAAGGUCAAACUCCUCCGGAUUCACCAUCAUUCUCCUCUGUUGGACAGUCCCUCUUGAAGUGUCCUAUUACGCCACAUAGAUGGCAUAUUCGAGAGAUUUCGACAUUGGUGGUUGAAGUAAUGUGUUGGAUCCGAGUCUUGCAGUAACGGACGGUGUGUCCCUUUUUAUUUCAGUUUAAGCACUGCAUUUUCCGACAAAGUCCAUGAUGGUGAUAGUUGCAUUUGUUGCACUUUGGGAGAUUGCCAGCAUACUGUUUGGCCGGGUUAGGGAUAACUGGGAUACUAUAAGAGAUGGUAGUAGGAGGUACAGAAGUCGUGGAUGCGAAGGUUGCCACAUGUUGUUGUCUUUUGCUCGCCCCUUGGGGUGAUUUGACUUUAGCCUUAGCCCAGAACUUUCGUUUGUUAUUCUUGGGCUUGGGAUUCGAGGUGUCGUGGUAGUUUGUUGCUCGUUGAGGUACUUGAUUGUUACAUGGAUUGGAAUUAUCGUUAACAAUCCCGCUAACAUUCGCUUUGUUAGCGUUAAGGUGGGUCAGAACAGCUGACACAGUAGCCAAGACUGCAGCUUGAAAGGUAGCUGCAUCAAUCUGAAGAGUUGGUGUUUGGUUGAUGGGUUGAUCGUUUUUCUUCGGCGACAUGAUUCUGUUACACGGAAAGAAAAAUGAAUUUGUGAGUGAGUAUGGUUGAACCUAGACGUAGUUCGAUCGUUCAUGAAAAGAAUAGAAGUAUGUUCUCGAAGGUUUGACCUACAUCUCUAUGAUGCAGUCCCAGUACGGAAUAGGAGUAUGUUCACGAAGGUGUGACCUACAUCCCUAUGAUGCAGUCCUAGUAUAGAUUAGAAGUAAACUAAUAGAAUGGUCUCAAAACGUUUAUCGUCCAAACUAGGGUAUUAUUGGUUGGUGGAUAACAUGAUCCAACCUUUGAGAGAAACUUGGAAAUGAUCCCGGAGUUAAAUUACCAUAGUCCAAUAACUUGACUAGAUGGGGUUUUAGAUAGACUCCAAUGAAAGCAUGAUGAAAGCAUUUGAACAAAGAUUGACACGGAAGUUAGCCGACUGUCGGUAUCAUUGAUGUUUAACACGUAAUAGGUUUGGGAAAUUGACCUUGUUGUAGGUCUUACAUCAUAUUCGGAGUAGAAAAGUCUUCGACAGCAUAAAGACUUAAAUAAAAGUACUUACAGUACAAGGUAAUUACAUAGAAAGUACUACACAGAACAUAGACAGGAACACGAUAUCUUCUACUGGCGACGGUCACCCCUAUGGUGAACCCUUAGUUCGGUUAGUUGACGUUCCAUACCAAGCAGGUAUCUCUCGUACACCCUCUGGCGUACUUGGAGCUCUAUGACUUCGGCUCGGGUUUCAGCUAGUGCUUACAGCAGGGUCUCAUGGUUUCUAUCAGAUCUCCCACUUGUGAUCAAGGUGAUUGGUGCGAAUGGUAUGCAUUCUUGCAUUGGUAUUAACCUCUUUGAUACAUUGGAGAGCCGUCAUGCCCUGAAUUUCGUUUCAGGAAACUCUACAGAUUCGGAUUGGUAGAACUCUGUCUGCUGAGCUCCCUUCAUUUACGUUGUAGAAGCUUCGGUCUCCAUUAAACGGCAUAGGUUGAUCUUGCUCUUCGCUCCAUGUUUCCAAGCAUUCUACCCAAGGAGGCGUCGGGCCAUGAAAAGCGAGGAGAGGGUUAGGAUAUAGAAAUGGAGUUAUCGGGGGUAGGUUCUCAACCUCUGGUUCGGAGUUAUCAACAUCCGAAAGGUUUUCAGCAUGGUGAUCAUUCAAAGGGAUUGGAUGAUCAUUCUCGGGUUCUUCUUCAAACCCUCCAACAUUGCCUUCGUUCGGAAGGUACGGGUUGCCGUGGGGAUGGAGUCCAGUCACUGUGUUUGUACGAGAAUAAGGAGAUAAGGAUUGUCUAGAACUAAGGCACAUAAGGUUGACAUCAAAGUUAAACUAUCGUAUUCAUAAAAUACUCCUAUAGUAUUCUAAAUGUUAUGUUUGAUUCUAAAGUUUAUAAGUUUGGUAAGUUUUAGACUUGUUGUCCAUUGUAGCUAUCCCCUGGCAUACACAGUUCGGCUCUCGGACAAAUAUAGUUGAUCAGGCUAUAUUUAUCCCAGUCCCGAUUACAUAUCCCAAGGCAUACUUGUAUUGCACAACUCAUCUAUAAUACUUCUAUAUUGUUUUAAUUAUGACACUGACCCUGUUAUUAAUAUGAAAUGAAUGCAUGCCUACUUUACAAAAACUAAAUAAAUUUAAUUUUAAAAGUAUGACUCUUACUCAGAGUGUUUUUGCCCAGU